UCCUACGGGAGGCAGCAGUGAGGAAUAUUGGACAAUGGUCGNGAGACUGAUCCGGCCAUGCCGUGUGCAGGAAGACGGCCCUAUGGGUUGUAAACUGCUUUUAUACGGGAAGAAUAAGGGACACGUGUGUCCUGGUGACGGUACCGUAAGAAUAAGGACCGGCUAACUCCGUGCCAGCAGCCGCGGUAAUAC
RNAcentral lists this ribosomal RNA (192 nucleotides) under uncultured bacterium. Its description in RNAcentral is "partial 16S ribosomal RNA". It matches the Rfam family "Bacterial small subunit ribosomal RNA", at positions 337 to 526 of the family's 1533-position model. The record is from RNAcentral.